This 2948-nucleotide long non-coding RNA is filed under the name Canis lupus familiaris (dog). Its description in RNAcentral is "lncRNA (ENSCAFG00845008536.1)". Lineage: Eukaryota; Metazoa; Chordata; Mammalia; Carnivora; Canidae. The record is from RNAcentral.
GGCAUGACUUCUGGGCUGUCAGGUGAACAAGGCCUGAAGACCUCAUGUAAAAACUGGUGACUGGAGCUGCUAACUCCGUACUGUGACUCUACACUGUACGAUUGAUCUUUGCUGGGAGUAGAGCUUCAGUGUUCUUGCACACGGAAAGAUAGGUGAGGUGAUGAUGUGCUAGUCGGUCAGGCGGGGGAGUGGGGAGCCCUUCUGGCGUGAGUCUGUGUAUCCCAUCAGCGCAGCACACUCUUUAAAUAUCUUGUCCGUUCUGCCUCGACAAAGCUGAACAAACCCCCCACAUCGAGUGGAGGUUUCGGGGGGAUGCUGGUGUGUGCAGCCUGGGAUGGGUUUGCACCUGCCUGGUUGGUACAAAGCCCCCCUGCGCCCUGGCUGGAGGUGCAGGGCCCUCAGAGAGAGCCACCUGGCUGCCUGAAGGGCUGGUUGGCCACAGGGGCCCCACGCUGAUGGACGAGUUCAGGGAGACAGGCUGUAGUCAAUCCGAAGCAACUUGGGGCCUGAUUUGAAAUUCAAAUCCUGGCUAAACAGAAAAUUAAUAUGAAUUUCGUAUUCUGUGAUUCUCACAGACUGAGCUGCGUGUGUGCCAGGCCGGCCUGGGGCGCUGCGGGCUUCAUGGCGUGGGACCUCCGGCUGCCUCUCCGCCCCGCCCCACCGCAGCCCCACGCCCCAGAACCGAGGGUGCUGGAGGAGAACAGCUGCUCUCUCCAGAUGUUUCUCCUGCAGGGAAAUGACAAAACAGAACAGAGAAAUGACUGGGGCCAGCCUCCCCUGGCAGAGCAAUUUGUUAUUGGGCAGCCACAGGGAACUCAUCUGAGGACCCGCCUAGGCAACCUGUCCUGGCAAACCUGCCUUGUUUUCAGUUAGGACUACAAAGGGCUGAUCCUGGACGUGAUGGCGAGCCAGAAGCAAACCCUGUGGAUACUGCACAUCACCUUCACAUAAUCUGAACCCCUGAAACUAUGGGGAGGCCGUUUGGGACUCCCAGUACCCUGGACAGCCGGCAGACACAGAUGUGAAUCCUUUCUGGACAGAGGUAACAUCAUCCUAAACUUCUAGGUUAUAAAUCCGGUGUUUAUGCACAAGAACAGAUUACUAGGCACACAAGGAGUCAGGGUAACAUGAAAGCUCUGCUGGAACCACAGGCCAUGGACACAGCCACCCAGGACACCCAGCCACGGAGCUAAGAGAUGAGAAUUUUGAGGUGACUGUUUUCCGUGCUCAAUGGGAUUAGAAGCCAGGAUGGAGAGUUUCACUGAAGAACUGGGAGCUGUGAAAAGCAGUGAAUUGGAAAUCAUGGAACUCAGAAGUACAAUAAGUAAAAUUAGGAGCCCAUUGGGUGGGUCUGUCAGCAGGUGGAUGCAGCCAAAGAGAGAAUUGGUGACUUGGAAGAAGGAUCCAAAGAAAAGAAUCAGAGGGAAGUGCAGGGUCAAAGGAUAGAAAACACCGGAAAGAAGGUAAGAAGCAUAGAAGGUGGGAUACAGUUGGACCUCUAGUGCACAGGCGAUUGGGGUUCUAGGAGAAAAGGCAGGGAGAUGGGCCAGAAACAAUAUUGAAGAAAUAAUGGCUGGGAUCUGUGGCGAGACUGCCUUCGUUUGCUGGGCCCAUUGUAACAAAAUUCCACAGCUGGCUUGGCGUAAACAACCGAAAUCUACUUUAUCGUGGCUCUGGAGCCAGAAGUCUGAGAUCAAGUCUGUUGGCGGGUUUGGUCUCUCCUGGGGCCCUCCUCCUUGGCUUGCAGGGGGUGGCUUCUCGCUGUGUCCUCACAUGGCCUCUGUGCAUACACAUCUCCUCUGAGAGGGACAUCAGAUUGGGGCACCUGAGGGAGUCAGUGGGUGAAGCAUCUGUCUUUGGCUCAGGUCAUGAUCCCAGGGUCCUGGAAUUGAGCCCCGUCAGGCUCCCUGCUCCCUGGAGAGCCUGCUUGUCCCUCCCCUCUCUGUCUCUUAUGAAUAAAUAAAUGAAAUCUUAAAAAAUAAUAAUUAAAAAAGGGACAUUAGAAUGGAUAGGGCCUACCCCAAAGCAUCAAUUUAACCUAAUCACCUGUUUAAAGAUACCACCUCUGAAUAGUCACAUCCAGAGGUGCUGGGAGUUAGAGCUUCAACACAUACGUUUUUGGGGAAGUGGAGUAGGGGAGGGACACCGUUCAGGGCAUAGCAAAGAUAGUAAGCCAUAGAUUCAGGAAUCUCCGGGGACCCAGAGCAGGACAAAUAAAACCACAUCUCUCUACCCCACACCAAAACGGCCAAAUAAAGAUACAGGGCACCCCUCAAGCCAGCCAGAAAUAAAAGAUGGUUUGCCUUCAGGGGAGCAACCCCUGGAGCAUGAACUGACCUCUCAGCAGAAACGAUGGAAGCCAGGAGAAAGUGAACACUCGUUCCUUAACGAGCAGGAAGAAGGAAAUGCCAGCCUGGACUCCUCCAUCAAGGAUGUCUUUCCAAUUUCAGGCCGAAGUCUGUAUAGCAGCCUGGAUCCUGGAGGGUUCGACAGGAUGUGUGACGUGAAGGACCUACAAACCCCGGUGAGUGACUGUGAUGUGUAAGGGCUCCACGUGGUACCUGAGGGCUGGGAGAGAAAAGGCAAGCAAGAGCGAGCUUGGAGAGGACCUCCAGGUGGGGUUCGGACCUUAGUGCAGAAGGUACGGUCCAGCCCUCUGGACAGUGGAGAAGCUUGCUGGGUUUCCCAGACGGGAGCUGGUCUACAGUCCUCGGGCAGGCGGCCACCCUCCAGUGUGCAGUCAGGGCACAGUGAUCGGCAGUAGGGGGGUGGGUGGCGGUCCAGAGAGGGUAUGUGUGUGUGUGUGUAGGGGGGUCUGGGGUGCAGGUGUGCCACACGGGGGCUUGUAGAGGAUCCACAGUGGCCUGGUGGGAACCCUUGGAAGAAAACAGGUCAGCGGCUUCCAGGGAGAAGAGGGGAUGGGGAGGAGGGAGAGACCCGUAUACAGG